Molecule: ribosomal RNA, 2904 nt
Filed under: Escherichia coli
Lineage: Bacteria; Pseudomonadati; Pseudomonadota; Gammaproteobacteria; Enterobacterales; Enterobacteriaceae
Description: bacterial LSU rRNA
Source: RNAcentral
UUAAGCGACUAAGCGUACACGGUGGAUGCCCUGGCAGUCAGAGGCGAUGAAGGACGUGCUAAUCUGCGAUAAGCGUCGGUAAGGUGAUAUGAACCGUUAUAACCGGCGAUUUCCGAAUGGGGAAACCCAGUGUGUUUCGACACACUAUCAUUAACUGAAUCCAUAGGUUAAUGAGGCGAACCGGGGGAACUGAAACAUCUAAGUACCCCGAGGAAAAGAAAUCAACCGAGAUUCCCCCAGUAGCGGCGAGCGAACGGGGAGCAGCCCAGAGCCUGAAUCAGUGUGUGUGUUAGUGGAAGCGUCUGGAAAGGCGCGCGAUACAGGGUGACAGCCCCGUACACAAAAAUGCACAUGCUGUGAGCUCGAUGAGUAGGGCGGGACACGUGGUAUCCUGUCUGAAUAUGGGGGGACCAUCCUCCAAGGCUAAAUACUCCUGACUGACCGAUAGUGAACCAGUACCGUGAGGGAAAGGCGAAAAGAACCCCGGCGAGGGGAGUGAAAAAGAACCUGAAACCGUGUACGUACAAGCAGUGGGAGCACAGAGCAAUCUGUGUGACUGCGUACCUUUUGUAUAAUGGGUCAGCGACUUAUAUUCUGUAGCAAGGUUAACCGAAUAGGGGAGCCGAAGGGAAACCGAGUCUUAACUGGGCGUUAAGUUGCAGGGUAUAGACCCGAAACCCGGUGAUCUAGCCAUGGGCAGGUUGAAGGUUGGGUAACACUAACUGGAGGACCGAACCGACUAAUGUUGAAAAAUUAGCGGAUGACUUGUGGCUGGGGGUGAAAGGCCAAUCAAACCGGGAGAUAGCUGGUUCUCCCCGAAAGCUAUUUAGGUAGCGCCUCGUGAAUUCAUCUCCGGGGGUAGAGCACUGUUUCGGCAAGGGGGUCAUCCCGACUUACCAACCCGAUGCAAACUGCGAAUACCGGAGAAUGUUAUCACGGGAGACACACGGCGGGUGCUAACGUCCGUCGUGAAGAGGGAAACAACCCAGACCGCCAGCUAAGGUCCCAAAGUCAUGGUUAAGKGGGAAACGAUGUGGGAAGGCCCAGACAGCCAGGAUGUUGGCUUAGAAGCAGCCAUCAUUUAAAGAAAGCGUAAUAGCUCACUGGUCGAGUCGGCCUGCGCGGAAGAUGUAACGGGGCUAAACCAUGCACCGAAGCUGCGGCAGCGACGCUUAUGCGUUGUUGGGUAGGGGAGCGUUCUGUAAGCCUGCGAAGGUGUGCUGUGAGGCAUGCUGGAGGUAUCAGAAGUGCGAAUGCUGACAUAAGUAACGAUAAAGCGGGUGAAAAGCCCGCUCGCCGGAAGACCAAGGGUUCCUGUCCAACGUUAAUCGGGGCAGGGUGAGUCGACCCCUAAGGCGAGGCCGAAAGGCGUAGUCGAUGGGAAACAGGUUAAUAUUCCUGUACUUGGUGUUACUGCGAAGGGGGGACGGAGAAGGCUAUGUUGGCCGGGCGACGGUUGUCCCGGUUUAAGCGUGUAGGCUGGUUUUCCAGGCAAAUCCGGAAAAUCAAGGCUGAGGCGUGAUGACGAGGCACUACGGUGCUGAAGCAACAAAUGCCCUGCUUCCAGGAAAAGCCUCUAAGCAUCAGGUAACAUCAAAUCGUACCCCAAACCGACACAGGUGGUCAGGUAGAGAAUACCAAGGCGCUUGAGAGAACUCGGGUGAAGGAACUAGGCAAAAUGGUGCCGUAACUUCGGGAGAAGGCACGCUGAUAUGUAGGUGAAGUCCCUUGCGGAUGGAGCUGAAAUCAGUCGAAGAUACCAGCUGGCUGCAACUGUUUAUUAAAAACACAGCACUGUGCAAACACGAAAGUGGACGUAUACGGUGUGACGCCUGCCCGGUGCCGGAAGGUUAAUUGAUGGGGUUAGCGCAAGCGAAGCUCUUGAUCGAAGCCCCGGUAAACGGCGGCCGUAACUAUAACGGUCCUAAGGUAGCGAAAUUCCUUGUCGGGUAAGUUCCGACCUGCACGAAUGGCGUAAUGAUGGCCAGGCUGUCUCCACCCGAGACUCAGUGAAAUUGAACUCGCUGUGAAGAUGCAGUGUACCCGCGGCAAGACGGAAAGACCCCGUGAACCUUUACUAUAGCUUGACACUGAACAUUGAGCCUUGAUGUGUAGGAUAGGUGGGAGGCUUUGAAGUGUGGACGCCAGUCUGCAUGGAGCCGACCUUGAAAUACCACCCUUUAAUGUUUGAUGUUCUAACGUUGACCCGUGAUCCGGGUUGCGGACAGUGUCUGGUGGGUAGUUUGACUGGGGCGGUCUCCUCCUAAAGAGUAACGGAGGAGCACGAAGGUUGGCUAAUCCUGGUCGGACAUCAGGAGGUUAGUGCAAUGGCAUAAGCCAGCUUGACUGCGAGCGUGACGGCGCGAGCAGGUGCGAAAGCAGGUCAUAGUGAUCCGGUGGUUCUGAAUGGAAGGGCCAUCGCUCAACGGAUAAAAGGUACUCCGGGGAUAACAGGCUGAUACCGCCCAAGAGUUCAUAUCGACGGCGGUGUUUGGCACCUCGAUGUCGGCUCAUCACAUCCUGGGGCUGAAGUAGGUCCCAAGGGUAUGGCUGUUCGCCAUUUAAAGUGGUACGCGAGCUGGGUUUAGAACGUCGUGAGACAGUUCGGUCCCUAUCUGCCGUGGGCGCUGGAGAACUGAGGGGGGCUGCUCCUAGUACGAGAGGACCGGAGUGGACGCAUCACUGGUGUUCGGGUUGUCAUGCCAAUGGCACUGCCCGGUAGCUAAAUGCGGAAGAGAUAAGUGCUGAAAGCAUCUAAGCACGAAACUUGCCCCGAGAUGAGUUCUCCCUGACUCCUUGAGAGUCCUGAAGGAACGUUGAAGACGACGACGUUGAUAGGCCGGGUGUGUAAGCGCAGCGAUGCGUUGAGCUAACCGGUACUAAUGAACCGUGAGGCUUAACCUU